Molecule: ribosomal RNA, 468 nt
Filed under: uncultured bacterium
Lineage: Bacteria
Description: partial 16S ribosomal RNA
Rfam family: Bacterial small subunit ribosomal RNA
Source: RNAcentral
GACGAGCGCUGGCGGCGUGCUUAACACAUGCAAGUCGAACGGAAAGGCCCUGCUUUUGUGGGGUGCUCGAGUGGCGAACGGGUGAGUAACACGUGAGUAACCUGCCCUUGACUUUGGGAUAACUUCAGGAAACUGGGGCUAAUACCGGAUAGGAGCUCCUGCUGCAUGGUGGGGGUUGGAAAGUUUCGGCGGUUGGGGAUGGAUUCGCGGCUUAUCAGCUUGUUGGUGGGGUAGUGGCUUACCAAGGCUUUGACGGGUAGCCGGCCUGAGAGGGUGACCGGCCACAUUGGGACUGAGAUACGGCCCAGACUCCUACGGGAGGCAGCAGUGGGGAAUAUUGCACAAUGGGCGGAAGCCUGAUGCAGCAACGCCGCGUGCGGGAUGACGGCCUUCGGGUUGUAAACCGCUUUCGCCUGUGACGAAGCGUGAGUGACGGUAAUGGGUAAAGAAGCACCGGCUAACUACGUG